CACAAACAUUAAAAGCUUUGAAAGAUGAGAAAUGAAAAUAAGUGUUUGAGGAAGCACAGGAGGAUAAGGUGGAAGAGUAAGCUAAAGAACUCUUUUUUAAGGCAUUAAAAGCCAUUAGGUAUUCUGAAGGGCAGAAAUAAUAAUAAUAAUAAUAAAAAAAGAAAAAACCACAGAUGUAGCUGGAAGCAAGAACCAGCGUAGAGAUGAGUAGUCAUGCUGAAAUGAACUGUCAUAGCGGAUGACAAUAUGCUCACUCGGGAGGAAGGAAACAGGAGCUAGGAUUUCUUUCUCAAGAACACAGCUGAGGAAAGACAGAUGGGGGAAUUUCAGUCCAUCAACAGAUACAGGGCAUUUAUUCUGAAAACCACAGUAAUUGACUGGAAUAUGAAAACUGAAAUCUAUUUAAAUGGAUGUAUAGGAAAACAAGAAUCCUCAGAGGAAGAAAUCCAAAGAGAUCUUCUUUAGAAUUUUGAGCAUGAAAAGACACAUAGGAAAGCCUUUUCUCUUACUGGGACAGCUGCCAGUAAAACAUCUCAACUCCAUUCAAUAUUUGCUCAACCAGUUGUCUGCAGAUGGAGGCACAGGAGAAAUUAUAUCCUCUGAUUUUCCACAUGGCCCUGUCAGUAUGCCUUGAUGUAGGUUUGUACCCAUCAGACACUACAGAGGUACAGAAGUAACACUCUUGUCGACUAAAGUGGGCUUCUUCCCAUGGGCUGCACUGAUUUUGAUCCAUUGUCUUCCUGGGACCUGGCCAAAAUCUUCCUGAUGUGUUUUCAUGGACCGUUUUUUAUCACAUCACAACUCAUUUUCUGUUUCUGUUUUUGGUUUCCUGUGAAAUGCAAGUAGUUUGUGAAUUGAAUGGAUGUACUGCUUGGUUUCAUAUAGCCACGCUUGACUUACAUGCCUCCAGAUUUUGGUGCCAAAGUCCUUUGCUACCUCCUCUGUUAACUGAAAGAAGAUGUUUACAACUGCUUGAAAUCUAUCUUUUAUUUAAAGCUUGCAAAACUGUUGCCUCAAUCAGCAGAGUUCUGACUGUACCUUGUUAUGAAACAUUACUAUAAAGGAGUGGAACCUUAGAGAUGCCAGCUGCACCAAAAAACAACACAACGGUUCAGCUACAGAUUAAUGCAGUGAUCUUCACGAGCAGUUAAUUAAAAUUCAGUGUUGACAGGACCAAGCCUUGUUACUGUUUUUUAGGGAAACAAAGAAUAACAGAUAAAGCCAAAUUAUAAUAGGUCGAUGCAGCAAAUCCAAGAAAAAUAUGGCAGUUCUCGGCAGCUGUGAUAGGAAUCCUUCCUCUUCUUGAAUAAUAAAGGCUUUUGCUAAUUUUAACCAGAGCCGAAUCUGAAAAACCUGCAGUCGUGUGUGACUCAGAGAGCCCCAAGGGAAUGGGAGGUGGGGGGAGAUAUGUGUGUGUGUAUGUCUGUGUGUAUAAUCUAACAGUGCCCAGAGCUUUUGCGAUCCUGGACCACUUCAAUCGCACAGUCCAGAUUCAUUAAAAACCCUGGCUACAUUCCAGCAGUUAAAAUUGAAGCAGCAUAUUUAUUGCAUUUUGCUCAAAUAAAUCUGAAAAUGUGUGAAUCAUAUCCCUUGGAGAGAUGGUAAGAAGAAGUAAACAAUCUCGGGCUCACACUUGGAAGCCGGCUAUGACGAAGAA
Coturnix japonica (Japanese quail) is the source of this 1657-nucleotide non-coding RNA. The record is from RefSeq and is a predicted model, not a curated record. Lineage: Eukaryota; Metazoa; Chordata; Aves; Galliformes; Phasianidae.